UGGUGGCACCUCACGUUUCUCUAGUGCAAUAGUCUGGUGUAAGUAAAUAAGUCAAGUUCCUUCGUGGAUCGGGAAGUACUGCUUCAAGAUGUCACACGGCCGGAGCUGGAAACAGAACUCGCACCUCAUUGUUCCUGGGUCGGGGAUGCGGACAAGGGUCGAGGAGAGAAGGUCCACUGCACGCCUGUGACGGCCUCCAAUGGACAGGAACUGGGUGGUCAACACAAUCCCGCUGCCCCACGAACCUCAUUUUAGCACUGGCCGCGGACCAGUGUGCGCUCCAGUCGGUGGGAGGAUAACCAUGCUGGGUGUCCCCGUCAUAUCAGCCUCGGGACAGUAAGGACGUCACAGGUAAGUCACGUUUCUUGGCUCAGAGCCGCCAGCCAGGUCAGUUCCUGGGACACCGCUCUCCCACGUCUCGCUUGCAGUGGGCCCUGCUGGCCAAUACCCCCGGGCGCCCCUGGGUCUGCUGGUGGCCCUGCCUCCUCCGCGCAUCCCGGCUCCCAGACUGACGCUCCCCAGCCCCGCGCUCACACCGCCACCCCCACCGGCAUCGGGGCCUGCAGACACUUUAAAACAGAGUAGAAAGUAAAAGCUCUCCAGUUCCAGACUGAGGAACUGGUGCCUCGCUGAGCACCACACCUCAGGGGGAUGGCUUGGAUGGCAGCGCAGAGGACGGGAACCACAGGAAGCCACGUCCAUGCCCGGCGAGCCCAGCUCAGACAUAAAAGUGAGUGAGCACAAUUCUUCCUGGUGACUAAGAAGCUGACAAGCACGUGGAGCGCACAGAGCCGAGGACCCGGGGAUGCUUCACAAUAAUCAUAAAGGCAAAUACAUACCAAUGAUUUUUAUGUGUCAAGCGCUGCUGUGAGAACUUUCAUCUAUUAAAAUUUUUAGUCCUCACCAUGAUUUGAUGCCCUUGGGUAUUACUCCUAUGCCAUUUACAAAGUUACAGCGUUUAUGAUUCCAGGAGGAAAUGGAACAGAGCAGUCAAAGAAAAAAAGAGCAAUUGCUAAAGGCUCAGAGACUCCCAGCUGACUGUUUGCAAAGCUCCCCUGGAGUUUCCCAGCGUCCACCAAUCCCGGAGCCCAGGCUUCCCAGGUGCUCUCAUCAGCAUCACCCGCUGGCGGCCGUUACUGCAAGUUAAAGAGCGACACUUCAGGAGCUCUGCUGCCAGGUCAUAAAGCAGCAAGGAGAGGACUGGCAUUCGCCGGUGACAUCGGCAGAUUUAUGGUUUGAAUUUACACCCAUCAGACAUGGGACACAUUUUUAGCCACGCACAUCAAGCUUAUUGCUCCCCAAACCUUGAGUCUCGCUGCCCACACCACUGGACUCGAUUCCCCUCGCCAGCAAUAGCCUCCCCGUGCAGCUGCCUUGGCAGGUGAGCUUUGAUGUGAGCUUGUGAAGCAGAGGUGUGGAAAGGAGCCCCCCAAGAGAACCAGGUGAUGUGGGAAAACGCCACUGAGCCCCACUUCCACGUGGAGUCUCUUCCAAAGGUCAGUCUCAGCAGUCAAGCACCUGGAUAGUCUUUCUUUUGCUGGUCUCUGAGACUGUCACCCUCUUGCCAAAUAAUGUUUAGGACAGUAACUGUAGACCCCCUUAAGGUCAACCUUUCUCCCCUGUCAUCUUUUUUUUUUUUUGACAUUCUAUACCAGUCUAGAGGGAAAAUAAGAUAUCAACACACAGAAAAGGUUAAAAUGUGUCCCCAGUUAACUGCACUGUCUGCCUAUAAGAUGAUACCACACAGUUGUGCUUUGUUCUGAACAGAACUUGUCUGGCUACCAAAGGUGAGAAAGAGGAACACAGUGCAAGGGCAUUAUGGGAAAAUCCAUUCUGCCUCGUUCUCCCAUCUCCUGGGAACCCUCCCAAAUUCUCCUGAACUGCGACAAACCCUAGCCCUUUGGGAUGGAGAACCACCUGCUCAGAGGCCAUCAAUGGCCCCACAAGGGCAGCUGGAGGUACGUUGAGGAAACCAAGCCCCAGUGUUUGUGCUUUGGGUCCCGAUGCCUGGGUCACAUCACAUAAUAAGAUGCCCACUCCCUCCCACUGCACUGGGGCAGGGUGGAGCUUAGGGCUCACCCUGGAAAUGUGAUCACAUGUUUCUAGCUAGCAAGUCCAUAAAAUGCAAGCAAGUUGCACAUAAAGGCAGUUUGAAAAACCGCACCAAAAUAUCUCUUCCCAGAAGAUAUACAUGACUGGAAAAACCUGGACCAAAAGUCAUUGGGUCUAACCUGACCACUUACUGUGUGACCUUGGGCCAGCUUCUUAACUUCUCUGUAUCCAUUUCCCAGAGCAAAAAUGAGCUUAUGUAAAUAACAGUGUUCUGUGCACUUAAGCAUCAGGCAAAUUAAAAGCAUUUAUAGAAGAAACACCAGUUAAAGGACCAGGUCAUUAGCCCCUGUCUCUGUGCUCCAAGUGCUGCGUAUCACCGCAGGCCCCUGGGACGCUGCCCAGUCACUAAGCGUCUCUGCCUUUCCAUUCACUUGCCCCCACGUAGAAGCUGCCAUGCCUUGGACCAAACCACAGGAGCACCUGAUGCUGCCCGCAUUUCCAGGCACACAGACACAUGUGACUUUCGAAGGGAGGGAAGGAGAAUGACCACUUUGUGGAUAAAGCCAUUCACAACGUGCGCUUGUGGUAAGCUUGACUGCUGAGACUGACUCCUGCAACCCCAGGCGUCCCUAAGCAACAGCCUGCAAGCUCGCUUCAUCUGCAAGCUCACGCUCAUUCCAUUCACAUCACAUAAUAAGAGUAAAAUUCCUCACAAGCACUUCUCUGGAGAAAACGAUGGUCAAGCUGUCCUUGAUCUGGCUGUGAGUUCCAGCCGCUGUUGUUGCCUCAGUUAGAGGUACUUUCGGGGGAAGAACACAGUUCUUACAGAGGCACUGAAAACACGCAUCUGUGCGCAGACUGUCCAACCCCUCUGGGCAUCCAACCCCUUGGCCCAGAAGGGCAGCGGCCUGAGGGCAGGUGGGCACAGGGGAGGGGACAGGUGCCUCUCACCCCAUGGCAGAAUAGCUGCCACCCAGAGGCCUACACCAAACCUUCUAGAAAGGGGGCUGGGAAGCAGGAAGCCCCCCAGCAGUAUGGAGGCGCUUCCGCUGUCCACGGGCAAAGCAGAGGGCAGGGCGCUGGCCAGCACCAGGCUGAGGGGCAGUCUGCAGCAGGGGGAGAUAAACACUUUGAUACUGGGGCUGAACCUGUCGCACUUUAAUCCCUUAAUCUCCGAUGAGAACCCUUCAUGAAGGUUUUCGGAUAUCCAAGCAGCAUCAGACUGGAUCAGCUAACUUCUAUAGCAGUGUGCAAACAGACUUGGAGAAAGGAAGCCCCGGGAGGAAGGAGGCCAGAUAGGAGGCUGGGGAAGAGUUCUGCAGGCUAAUAGGGCUGGAGCCACAGGAAGGGCAGGGGCACAGGCCGGGGCAUUAUUUGGAUCCUGAGCUGCUAACCAGAACCUGCAGAAACAGACUGACAGUACCCAGCCCACCACCUGGACCCCUCACCGGAGGACCUCCGGGUCCCAAGAGCUGGUCCAGGACACGCCACUUUCCGUGUUUUAUUCACAUGUCAUCACUUAUCUUCUAAAAAGUUAAAACACAAUUCACAACAGUUUUAAUGAAACCAUAAUACGUGCUAGUGAAAAGUACAGAACUUAAUUACUGUUCCCAGUGACUGUCUCCAUCAAUAGGUGUCUUGAAAUGAAAAGUGGGUGAUUUGUAAAUAAACCUCUUGAACGAACAGAAAUUUGUAAUGGUUAAGUAUUAACAAUAUUAAUACUAAUUGACAAUGAUUUAAUUAAUAAAAAAGUUUUAAUGUGCAUACAGGUUGAGCUACAAGGCUGUGCAUAGUACACUGCUUUCUAAUUUCAAAAUUUGCAAGCACAUUACUUGUCUAAACAGAAAGGAUUUGUUGAACAAA
This is a long non-coding RNA of Manis javanica (Malayan pangolin), 3915 nucleotides long. RefSeq lists it as uncharacterized. NCBI's taxonomy places the organism in Eukaryota, Metazoa, Chordata, Mammalia, Pholidota, Manidae. The record is from RefSeq and is a predicted model, not a curated record.